RNAcentral lists this small nuclear RNA (322 nucleotides) under Jaculus jaculus (lesser Egyptian jerboa). RNAcentral's name for it is "7SK RNA (ENSJJAG00000003185.1)". It matches the Rfam family "7SK RNA". Rfam says of the family: 7SK was discovered as an abundant small nuclear RNA in the mid-70s but a possible function has only recently been suggested. Two independent studies have found that 7SK RNA binds the CDK9/cyclin T complex (known as elongation factor P-TEFb). Lineage: Eukaryota; Metazoa; Chordata; Mammalia; Rodentia; Dipodidae. The record is from Rfam by way of RNAcentral.
UGUUGUGAGGGUGAUCUGCCUGUGACAUCUGUCACCCACUGACUGCCAGGGUUGAUUCAGCUGCUCUGGCGGGCUAGGCGGGGUCCUCUUCCUCCCUCACUGCUCCAUGGAUCUCCAUGUGUGUCCCUCCUGAAGCUGCAUGCUAGGCUGAAGAGGAUAACCUCUCGAAAACACAAGGACUGCUCUGCAGUCAAGGGCAUAGGAGGAGCUGUGGUCUCCUGCUAGAACCUCUACAGAAGCACUCCGGAAGCAGAACAGGGGCCAGGGAUGUAGCUGGGAGCACAGCGCCUGCCCGAGCGUGCACAAGGCUCGGCGUUUGGGC